AACCUUUACACUGCACGACAGUGCGAUAGGGGGACUCCGAGUGCGAGGGCAUAUAGCCCUCGCUUUUCUGAACCGUAAGGUGGUUCAGGAACAAGGACUGGGCAAGACCGGUGCCAGCCGCCGCGGUAAUACCGGCAGUCCGAGUGAUGGCCGAUAUUAUUGGGCCUAAAGCGUCCGUAGCCGGCCGGACAAGUCCGUUGGGAAAUCGACGCGCUCAACGCGUCGGCGUCCAGCGGAAACUGUCCGGCUUGGGGCCGGAAGACCUGAGGGGUACGUCCGGGGUAGGAGUGAAAUCCUGUAAUCCUGGACGGACCACCAAUGGGGAAACCACCUCAGGAAGACGGACCCGACGGUGAGGGACGAAAGCUGGGGUCUCGAACCGGAUUAGAUACCCGGGUAGUCCUAGCUGUAAACGAUGCUCGCUAGGUGUGCCGUAGGCUACGAGCCUGCGCUGCGCCCUAGGGAAGCCGAGAAGCGAGCCGCCUGGGAAGUACGUCUGCAAGGAUGAAACUUAA
This 515-nucleotide ribosomal RNA is filed under the name uncultured archaeon. RNAcentral describes it as "bacterial SSU rRNA". It matches the Rfam family "Archaeal small subunit ribosomal RNA", at positions 345 to 859 of the family's 1478-position model. The record is from RNAcentral.